This 189-nucleotide ribosomal RNA is filed under the name uncultured bacterium. RNAcentral's name for it is "partial 16S ribosomal RNA". It matches the Rfam family "Bacterial small subunit ribosomal RNA", at positions 338 to 524 of the family's 1533-position model. The record is from RNAcentral.
CCUACGGGAGGCAGCAGUGAGGAAUAUUGGUCAAUGGACGAGAGUCUGAACCAGCCAAGUCGCGUGAAGGAUGAAGGUUCUAUGGAUUGUAAACUUCUUUUGUCCGAGGGUAAAGUGUGGGACGUGUCCCAUUUGGCAAGUAUCGGACGAAUAAGCAUCGGCUAACUCCGUGCCAGCAGCCGCGGUAAU